RNAcentral lists this non-coding RNA (71 nucleotides) under Janthinobacterium psychrotolerans. RNAcentral's name for it is "Janthinobacterium sp. S3-2 crcB RNA". It matches the Rfam family "Fluoride riboswitch aptamer (crcB RNA motif)". Lineage: Bacteria; Pseudomonadati; Pseudomonadota; Betaproteobacteria; Burkholderiales; Oxalobacteraceae. The record is from RNAcentral.
AUCGCACCAGGAGAUGACGUUCCUCCUUGAACCGCAGUGGAAACAGCGCUGCUGAUGACGUCUACAGACAC